Molecule: transfer RNA, 70 nt
Filed under: Cerambycidae sp. 7 KM-2017
Lineage: Eukaryota; Metazoa; Arthropoda; Insecta; Coleoptera; Cerambycidae
Description: tRNA-Lys
Source: RNAcentral
CAUUAGAUAGCUAAAAGUUAGCAAUGGAAUUUUAAACCAUUAAAUAGUAAUUUAACGCUUACUUCUAAUG